AGUGAACGCUGGCGGCAGGCCUAAUACAUGCAAGUCGAACGGCAGCACAGCAGAGCUUGCUCUGUGGGUGGCGAGUGGCGGACGGGUGAGGAAUACAUGGGAAUCUGCCCAGUCGUGGGGGAUAACGUAGGGAAACUUACGCUAAUACCGCAUGCGCCCUUCGGGGGAAAGCCGGGGACCUUCGGGCCUGGCGCGAUUGGAUGAGCCCAUGUCGGAUUAGCUAGUUGGCGGGGUAAAGGCCCACCAAGGCGACGAUCCGUAGCUGGUCUGAGAGGAGGAUCAGCCACACUGGAACUGAGACACGGUCCAGACUCCUACGGGAGGCAGCAGUAGGGAAUAUUGGACAAUGGGCGCAAGCCUGAUCCAGCCAUGCCGCGUGAGUGAAGAAGGCCCUCGGGUUGUAAAGCUCUUUUGUCCGGAAAGAAAAGCGUUGGGUUAAUACCCUGGCGUCCUGACGGUACCGGAAGAAUAAGCACCGGCUAACUUCGUGCCAGCCGCCGCGGUAA
Molecule: ribosomal RNA, 506 nt
Filed under: uncultured bacterium
Lineage: Bacteria
Description: partial 16S ribosomal RNA
Rfam family: Bacterial small subunit ribosomal RNA
Source: RNAcentral